GGGUAGUGUUAUCAAUUCACAUGAACUGAUAUCAUGAUAACAUGAAUAAAUUGUCAGUGCUAGCUGGUAAACAUGCUAAUUUCAGCUGACGUCUUCGCAAACACCGUACAUGAUAUCAAAACUGCUGUUCCUUCCCACUCUGUUGAUGAUUUCAUCAUUCAUGACUCAUUUUUCUAAAAACUGCUAUCAACACUUUGUCUGUUUGUUAAAAAAAUGGCACUGUUAUCACUGUAAAAUGGUGGGAAGGGCAAUGCAGUGAUCUAUGGAGUAACGUAAGCGCUCAAGUAUCAGCCCAAGACCUACUUAUGAUUAUGUAAAUGGUCUCCAACAUAUCAACUCAUUAUUCAUACUUUCUCGCUGCUGUUUCCGCCUUCAAUAGGCAUCCCUAAUGUAAAUGCAUCCGCUGCUGCACAAAAGAGCUCUUCACUGCCCGUUGCCCUCUAAUCUCAGUUUUCCCCCGCAGCGUCAGUUCAACUCGAGUCAAAUGCUCCGUGUCUUUCAGGGGUUUAGACAUGCGCUGAGAAUGCGUGCAGACUUGAAUAUGAGAGAUCUUGCAGAUGCUCUCUGGAGCUUGAUGGCAGAUGUUUUUUUGAAACUAAAAGAACUCGCCUCCAACUUUCUGUUGCCAAUAGUCUGCUCAGGCUUUCAAAUUGUAAUAUUUAUUCUUAUUCUUCAAGGACUCACGUCCUUAAACGCAAGAUAGAAGAAAGGCCAAUUUCCCAUAUCUAGACCUACCAUGUUGUCAGCUGUAAAGAACGGGGAGGGAAACUCUGUCUGUUUUGGCACAGGAUGAAUAUUUUCUCAGAUAUGUUAAUCAUGGCCACGACAUAUUGCGUAAGAAAACAUUGUCUCUGAUAGAUCGAUAAGUCCCCUGGCACUUUGGUGACUGUAGUGACCGAGGCACCACGAUGUCUGCAGACCCCUCGCUCCCAAGGGCUUUAAUAAGAUGUGUGUGUGUGUGUGUUCGCGAGCAUGUGGACGUAUGCGCGUGCAUUUGAAAAAACGUGCCCCACCCGACUUGAGGUUAUGAGAGCAAACAUGAACUCAAAAGAUGUGCUUCAUACUGUUUUCAAGGCCAAAGAAAAUGCAAUAAAGCACGUCUUCAAAAAUAUUUCACUUCUCGAAACGCACUUUACUCCGCUUGUUGCUAUACCACAAACCACACUUAUUUGUUCUCAUUUGUCACUAUAUCGUACUCAUUUUCCUCAGCCGGACGUAUGUACUUAGAAUAUAUAAUAGAAUACUUCCUCUGACAGUGAUUCAUGUCCUGUUCUAUAAGACCGGAGACUCUGGAUUUUUGCCGUAUCAGCUCUUUUCCCUGGGUCCCCUUGGUGACAAAAUAGAUCACAGCUAAAGAAACAAAAUCCACGUUCACAUGCCAUGCAGUGCAAAUCAAUUGGCGGAUACCAAGAUAUAAAUGGGAUGAAUGUGACAUUAGCGAUGUGAAGCCAAUAUAGGAUGGAGGGAGGUUAAGGGUUAAUCACAAGAUGGAUGUUCCCUCCAUAGCUCUCUGGGACACAUCAACACAAAUGUUAUGUCACAGCGGUCCAAACAGCAUGCUUUCAUUAUCUGUUACUCUUGUUGCGCUAUUUUCUACUUCUUCUAUUUGAAGCUACAGCAAAGACCAAAUGAGGAUAACACAACAGCCCGCCCAGUGCACUCUCCUGCGUGACACACGAGCGCCUUCCUGGAAAAAUGGACGUCAUCACUGGAUUUUUAUGUAAACCUCAGCCAAACGUGUAACUCGAGGACACUUUCCGUCGUGCGCAGCUUGGAUUGCCGCCACUGCCGGACAGACGAUGGAAAACUUCCUCUCCUAUCCUCCCGUCUCUCUCUCACCUGUUGGAGGUGGCUGCUGCAGCUGAUGCGAGCUGAGCUGUUGUCUUUGACUGCCCACAUGUGGCCGAACUGAGGAACAACAGCAGCGUGAUGGUUCUCACGGCCAAGCACAAAAUCAGCAGGGUGGCUCUCUCUGGCGGCGCUCUGAAGACACAGAACUAAAGCCCCCAACAUAUUCACUGCCUCGUCUUUUUUUCUGUGUGUGGUGGCUCUGAGGUGCAACAACAAGUACGAAAAAAGCUCACUAAACAUUGGACAUCCAAUCAGAGCUCCGGGGGCGCAGGGCUGUUCAGUGUGGAAAGAAAUUCAAAUCCUUCCGAACCUUUUUUUGUGUUUUAUGUAAAACAAAUUUGAAGGUGACUCAGAACCAGUGAGCCCCUCGCGGAUUGUUGCUCUGCCUGAUGCUCUCUGCUUUGCUCACUGAAACACUCACUGGCACAACAAACCUGAUGAAUACGGUGCUUAAAAUGACAGUGACCAGCUGUGUUGAAUAUUUAACAGUGGCUUGUUUUUCAAAAGACUGAGAGCCGCAGAUGGUUUGGUUAAAAAAAAAAAGC
This is a long non-coding RNA of Acanthopagrus latus (yellowfin seabream), 2396 nucleotides long. RefSeq lists it as uncharacterized. The transcript is spliced from 3 exons. The record is from RefSeq and is a predicted model, not a curated record. Lineage: Eukaryota; Metazoa; Chordata; Actinopteri; Spariformes; Sparidae.